This is a long non-coding RNA of Raphanus sativus (radish), 1167 nucleotides long. RefSeq lists it as uncharacterized. NCBI's taxonomy places the organism in Eukaryota, Viridiplantae, Streptophyta, Magnoliopsida, Brassicales, Brassicaceae. The transcript has 5 exons. The record is from RefSeq and is a predicted model, not a curated record.
CCUUCCUUCAAACGAUGAUGCGGCGGUGAAGCGUUCCAAAUUCGUAACGGUGAGAUACGUAAGUAAUCGUCUUUAAUUCACUUCAAUUCGUCUGUGUUAGUCGGCGUGUUCCUGUACAAAUACACAUAGAUUUCUCAAACUCGUCCGGCCGGUGCUCAUCUGUUGUGGAGGCCAGGUUGCUUUGUUUCUGGGAGGCUCGGAACUUGAAACGUGGUGGUGAGCUCAUGUGGAUGGACUUGCUCACCGUGGAUGUUAAUCUUUGGUUCGAGCUUUUUGAUGAACAGGUUUUAAGAAAUUUCAUUUUUUUGUUUGGAAGAGACGAUGUAUCAGUAGGUGCUUUAGCCAAACGCUUUCCCGCCGGCGAAGAUUUGAGAAGCUCCGUUUCGAUGGUAGAAAAAUAUUGACUGUUGCCGUCGUAUUGGUUUUUGUGACCCUGAUGUCUAUGAACAGCUCCACCAUCCCUCUCGGUUCUUCUUUAGUUAAGCCAUCAUCAAGGGGAUGUCUUAUUUGCAUCAGAGGCCUAGACUGAUAUCUUUGAUAUCAAAGUUUUUAGAUUCACCGCCAAUAUUCACCUUCAACCACAUCAAACUACAAUUCCCGAUAUGGCUUCUUACAUGUGUGAAGCUCCAGCUACUUCACGUCAAUGACACCUCAGAAUCUCAUCUUCAACUCCUGGCACUCACAAGGCUGAGAAAUACCAUAUUUUGUUGGUGAAAGGUAAUCCUAAAGUGGUAGAUGGAAUCGGUAAUGUUCUUUUGCUAUAUUCAGCAGUGUGUAUAGAAAAGAAAGAUUACAGUACAGCUUGAGGGUAGUAGGGAAGAAGAUGAAGAGUGGAAAGAGCUUGACCCAAUGUUAGUCUGACUUCCUAAAACUUACCUGAUAAUACAGCGAGAGAUUGGUGAAGAAAGAGACCAAGACGAAGUGAAUAAGAUAAAGAGUGACAGAGCAUUGCUUUAACCUGUGUGUACGUACCCUGUCUAUGAAACUGGAAGGUUUCACAUGGAGGAGUAAGAAUAUAUAGGAUGGGAAAAAGAUGGUUUGGAGUUGUGGUGUGUUGAUAUAUAUUUUUGAGAUGAGACUAUUAGAUUUUGUAAUGUUAGGAUUGAUUGUCAAAUCAUGAGAAAAAUACAUUGACUUACCAGUUAUAAUAGAUUCUUUUUCGUCUUC